UGGGGAAUAUUGCGCAAUGGACGAAAGUCUGACGCAGCGACGCCGCGUGAGGGAUGAAGGCCUUCGGGUUGUAAACCUCUGUCAGGAGGGAAGAAGUGUGAUCGUGCUAAUCAGCGGUCAUUUGACGGUACCUCCAAAGGAAGCACCGGCUAACUCCGUGCCAGCAGCCGCGGUAAUACGGAGGGUGCAAGCGUUAAUCGGAAUCACUGGGCGUAAAGCGCGCGUAGGCGGCAAAGUAAGUCAGGGGUGAAAUCCCACGGCUCAACCGUGGAACUGCCUUUGAUACUGCUUAGCUUGAGUUUGUGAGAGGAUGGCGGAAUUCCAGGUGUAGGAGUGAAAUCCGUAGAGAUCUGGAGGAACAUCAGUGGCGAAGGCGGCCAUCUGGCACAAUACUGACGCUGAGGUGCGAAAGCGUGGGGAGCAAACA
This 427-nucleotide ribosomal RNA is filed under the name uncultured bacterium. RNAcentral describes it as "bacterial SSU rRNA". It matches the Rfam family "Bacterial small subunit ribosomal RNA", at positions 355 to 774 of the family's 1533-position model. The record is from RNAcentral.